RNAcentral lists this small RNA (160 nucleotides) under uncultured Eubacterium sp. Its description in RNAcentral is "Clostridiales-1 RNA". It matches the Rfam family "Clostridiales-1 RNA". Lineage: Bacteria; Bacillati; Bacillota; Clostridia; Eubacteriales; Eubacteriaceae. The record is from RNAcentral.
AUAAGUGUCAUAGAUCAAUAUGCUUUUCUGCUUGCAGAAAAAGCAUUUUGACUUUAUGACACGCUGAAACAUGAGGAAGUAGCUGUUUUUGAAAAAAACAAGCGGAUUCCGAAUGUUUCAAGGAUUGUGAGAGUUUCGUAAGAAACGAAGCAAUCCGUAU